GCCGCUUUAGUGUAGUGGUAUCACACCGGUUUCCUUCGGGAGAAAUCUUUUCACCGGAAACAUAGGUUCGAUUCCUAUAAGUGGACA
This is a non-coding RNA of Bisporella sp. PMI_857, 87 nucleotides long. NCBI's taxonomy places the organism in Eukaryota, Fungi, Ascomycota, Leotiomycetes, Helotiales, Helotiaceae. The record is from the annotation of a GenBank genome assembly.